Long non-coding RNA from Gallus gallus (chicken), 16319 nucleotides. RefSeq lists it as uncharacterized. The record is from RefSeq and is a predicted model, not a curated record. The transcript has 2 exons. Lineage: Eukaryota; Metazoa; Chordata; Aves; Galliformes; Phasianidae.
GCUGCCCCUCCGGGCCUCUCCGCCGCCCGCACUCGGACAAAGCUGUGUGGAGCGCGGCGCCAACGGGAGCACAGCACCGGCCCGGGCGGUCGCCGCGCAGGCGCGGUGCGCGACAGUGGGGGAUCACGGCACGGCGGCCACCUGAGGCGCUGGGGGCCACAGCCCGACCAUUUAAAGGCACAGUCGCCGCUGGCACUGAGCCACGGGCGGCCCCGCUCGGCGCUGUGCUCUUGGCGCUGCGGAGGGCUUCUAGAGCUGCCUGCCCGUUGACCCCGGCCCUAAGUCCUCCAAAGUCUUUCAGAAAUGUUUCAAAUGACCAAACAAAUGGCGAGUUUCUCAGCAUUUAGUCCAAAAAGCACCUGCUGGGACCCAGGCCUGCCAGCACCCUUGGGUGCUCCUCCUCCCCCGGCUCCUGGCCUCACACAGCAGGCUCACUCACCUCUGCUGCUCUCUGUCGUCCUCUGAGAGCAGCAGGACGGCCCUCAGCCCCACACCCAGGCCUUCUUUCUAUACCCCUAACGCACCCCACGUCCCUGUCUGCAUCCUUAUCAAAGUGCCCACUUGAGAACAAAAUAUUCCAGCGCACGUCUCAGGCCCUGUUGUGCAGUUUGCUUUUUGCUCACUGGUGUGGCACUGGUUGGUGCUGGCAGGGAUGCACCCAGAUGCCGUCAGCUCGUCCUGUUGUCGUAAGGUGGCUGUGCAAACAAACACCGCUCUCACAAGGCCGACACGCAGUGCUGAGGGUGCUCCCUGUUGUGACGCCCAACAGCUGUGCUUAUCGCUGUUUGGGGCAGAAGCUGGGAACAGGCAGCACCUCUGCACCAGGCCUUGCCCUGAAGCAGCGGUUGGAACAGCAUGUGGGCUGUGGGCUGCUGCUCCUCGUGCUGCAAAGCUCACGGUCGGGUGUGUUCACAGCUUAAAAUGCUGCUGGAAGAACGGCAGUGUGCCCCAGACUCAGAUACAGGCAUUGCAGUGGUUGAUCUGAGGUCAUUUGCAGCUCCAACCCCGGCAGUUACGAGCACGAGUUUAGUGGGAUUUGUCCACGUGAAGCAGACAGUUUGUGUGUUUGGUGGCAGUGUCUGCUGGGACCUUUGAACCAAUGCAAGGCUGGGGUUUAUGUGUGAUUUCAGUGCUGCCAAAGUUAUUUCAAAAGUAAACACAAUAAGAUGGCAAGCAUCACAGAACCUGCAAAAUCAAAAUCAAGCUACUCAGCAAGUCUCAGGCACAGGAGUUUGCCAGCUGUAUUAGAGCCGCUGUCAUUAAUGCAGAACAUAACAGUUGCAAAAGUUUAAGUCAGGAAGUGAAGAAAGCAUUCUGAAAUUCUCCAUCUCGGCACAAUCUCAUGUCCUCCUCUGGGCAGCAGCCAUGGCCCCGGGGUCAGAAGCUCAGUGCUGCACAACUGUGCUGGGACUGCCACUGCCCACAGCUGCUGCCUCUAUGGUGCCGUAACAGCAGACACGCAGCUCCUGCACGGUGCCGGAGGAGGCUGAUAUGAAUGCUGUUCAACCAGAGGCUGAAAUGUUGCAGUGAAUGUUCUUUGUUGUGUACUGCGUGUGCUUGUUUGUUCCUUCGUGUGCUGAGGGCUGCAAGAAGAAAUGUGUAAUCUAAAUAGGUUUUAUGAAACCUGGGUUCUAAUGCUGCCUUUGGCACACAGAGCCAGGCAGUAAACUCCUCUCCACCAACAUUUAUUGUCAUUCUAAGCAAAGUGCUUUUGUUUAUAAGCAGGCCUGAAGGCUCACUGGGCAGCAUUCUGGUGGAGAAGUGGGAUUUCAAAGCUGCACAAAGAUACUGAAGGUACUCAGAGGUCUCUGCAAGGAUCAGGACCAGGUGGUGCUGGAUGCUGUGUGCACACCUGGUGCCCAACAUGACCCUGGUGUUGACCACUUAACAUUUCUAGCACUUAAAUGGCUCUCCAGCUUGUCUUCCAAAAAUAGACUAAUGAAAAGAUCUCAACAAACUUCUGCAGAGAUCUUAGAUUUCCAGCUGAAGCUAAUGAGGUACAAUGCUACUUGACAGCAAAUUCAGUUUGGAGUGCAUUCUGCAGACACACGUUAUUAGCAAAAUGGUUGUUGGUGUCGGAAUAAAGAGGGCUGAAAGGCUUCUGAAUUCGUAGCAGAAUUCCUCACAAUAUUUUUUCCUGUGGUUUGCUGAUUAAAUACUUACGCUCUAUCAAUUCCUCCCUGAUGUCCAGAAUUGAGCGAGAGUGUAUUUAGGCCAGCAUCCAAUGCAUGUGAAUUCUGCUCUCCUCUCGUAGUCUCCCAUUUGCUAAUGGUAUGAAUGCUAUCACCAACAGGUAUCCAGCUACUUCCUCACAUGGAGGCAGAACACACAGCUCAGUUUACUAAUGGAUGGCUGAGGAAUGCAGGAGUGCCAUCCUUACCUCAGAGGUACCCUGUAGUUAACCCUAACCCUGGCUCAGUGCUGUGGAGUUGGUUAAAGCUACAGGAUUACGUGGGCAUGAUGUGUGAACAAAAAAAACCCAGCAAAAAGAUUUUGAAGGAAGACAGAAGAGAGACUUUCAUCAUCUGGGGCUAAAUUGUUGUCAGCACAGUCAACCUAUGGCUAAAUUAACUGUAUACUCAACGGUGGAAGGCGUGGAGGAAUCCUUGGCUGGAUACAAUUAUAGAGAGCAGGUUAUUUCUAUCAGUAUAGAUCUCAUUUGAAAUCAAAAUUCGGCAAUACACAGAGGGAAUCUCCAAGGCACUCCUUUGUAAUCUUUCUAUAUACAGUUAUUGCCUCACAGAGGCAAUAAGAUCUCAGCCAAACAUACCAGUGCUUCUGGAAGAAGGGAAAUGCCAAACCGUGAGGCUUGAGCACAUGAGCAAGACGUGGCUGCACAUGGGCUGAGACUGUUAAUUGGCCACACAUCUCCUCUUCAUGUGAAAUGGAAGCUUCAGCCUUAAGAUGAGCUGUGGUGCAGCCAUAGGUGGACACAGAGGCAAGGCUGCUGCUGGGUAACGAAUUUGCCUUGCAAAAACAGCAGCUUCACAUCUUGAAAAUUAUUUUGUUUAUUUCUUAGCCAAAAAGGAUGGACAGCCUAGCACGAGAGGAGUGAUGAAGGGUGGCUUAGCUUCAGAGCACAUCUGGAUGAAAAGCAGAUGCUAUUUUUGAAGAUUAAAAAUUGAAUUAAAAUGUUGACGUAUUUAAACAGUAACACACAUAUAUGCUUUCCACAGACUUCCGAAUAGCCAAGCAUAACCAGAAGUAUCUGGGCAGAGCCAAAACCAGCCUGAAUGCUGGCAUUUCUACCAGAUCCAUCAGGAAGGAGCAAAGGAACUGAAUAUGCAGUGCUUGGCUGAGAAUCCCUUGGUGGAAGGAAAACACACAGGUCCACAAACAUCUGUACGUGGUAAAAGCAAAUAUUAGCUUAGCAUUAAUGGAAUAGAAGACAAGCUGCAGGCUGUAUUUAAUGGAAAAUUAAAAUUACAUCUUUUAAUCUUACUCAUUGCAGAUACCUGUCUGUAAGUUCGAUUCCAGCCCAACUAUCAGUAAGGGCAGAACACAGACCUCAAUGGCACAGCACCAGGCUAAGUGUGUGCUGAAUGCAGCCAUGUCACAGAGCCUUCCUGGAGAGGCUGAAUCGGUACAUUUAUUUGGAGUCCAUCUGUAAGUUUACAGCAGCACUGUGAGCUCUGUUAGGAGUAUUUGUUCAUGCCUCACACAGGAUCUGUGCAAACAGCAUUCCAACUCCAGGAAAGUGCUUUUGUCUGAGAAAGGGAGUGAUGCUCCACUCACUGCAGCAGCUUUUGGUGGUGGAGCCUCUGAACUAAGUGAUGGAGUUCAGAACCUACAACCAACUGCCCACAGCUUUGCAGUUGUGCACACAGCUGGAUCAGACCUUUAGGUGACACCUAAACACGGGACAGCAUGGCUGGAAGAUCUGAAAGUUUGAACUCAGAGCACAGACUGCACUCCAAUGGCAGCUGCUAUCGCAGUAUGGCCCCUCAUGUCACAUGCAGGAGUGGAAGAACUGCUUUCCCUGCACUUCCCUAGCCCUGUCAUAUUCAUUCUGGAUUUAUUUACACUAGGGCCCCUUUAUUGAUUAAUACCACUGAGAGAUUUAACCAGCCACUCAAUUAUCCUGGCAGGCCAGGUCUGUGAUAUUUUAUUACCCCCUCCCCUCACAUACACACCAGCUCCCUGAACAGAUUUCAUGAAUUAUUGAAGGUUAUGUUUUAAUGCACUCAGCAAGGUGCUCUGGCAAGGGGCUCCACAGGUUCCCCUGCAUUUUAGUAUCAGAUGCAUUUCAGCUGCUGGCAGAGGGCAGUGAGGCUGUACUUAGUCAUCAAACCUGUUAGUGCCCACAUGAAGGACCAUUACCUAACCUGUCUGUCAAGCAGCUGAUUGUAUUAAGUUGAGGUUUGCCAGUGAAUAAGAGAGAGUCUGCAAAUAUUCUACUCGGAGGAGUCUGUUUUCAGGCUAAUUGGAAGCUAUUGCUUGCCAAAGUGCACACUGCUUGCCUGUAAGUCAGCAGGUUAUCAUCGCACAGUUCCUUACAUGAGGUGGGGUCUGGACAGGGUACAAGCAAGUCCAUUGCCAGCACCCUCAUCCCCCCACCUGCAUCCUUGCCAUGCAGAGAGCCUCCCAGGUCCAUCCUGGAGAAGCUGAGGUUGGUCAGGAGGACACAGUCCUUGGCUCAGCCUGCAGUCUGCUCCUCUGGAGACUGCAUUCUCAGCAACAGCUUCAGCACAUUCCAGUACAGGACGCUGGAAUCCAGUAGAGCCUUCCCACAGCAGCCUGCCUCUGUCCUGCCAUGAACCAGAAGCCUUGGUGUUUUUCCUGCUUCAAAUGUCGUUCUGCAGGGCUUUGCUCACUCAGGAAGGGUAACUGCUUCUAGCGAGCUUUCAGCUUGCCCUGGGAGGGGAACGCAAGUAAAACUAUCCUCCUUUUAGGAUGAAUUAGUUUGGAGGUGUCUGUUUUUAAGAAGCCCAGUAGAAUAUUCAAUUUCAGGUAGGCACUGCUCCUUACUCAUCCCAUGCAGAGACAGUGGAGAAAUUUGCAGACACGUAAAUAACAGCUGUUUAGAUUGUAGCAGUGAGCAAUGUGCACAGGGAUAGGACAAGACAUAAUGAGGUCAGGCAGCAAUGAAGGAGCUCUCUCCCCAACAUCUCAUUGUGUGGUUGGGUCUGGAUGCAAGCAGGCUGCCUGGGCAGCAGAGCACUGCAGUGUGGGAGCGUUUUUGGAGCAGGUUGGGCAAGCAUCUGGCAGGAAUGACACAAGCAAGGUCAAAGCACAGCCUUGGACAAGCUGGGUGUGUAAUGCUCAGCUCCCUCCAGCUUCACAGUGGUUCUGGGCAGAGACUGAGAACAUCUCUCUAAAACCAAAAGAAGAGCAGUAAGGAGUAACUCGGGCCUUGGAUGUUAUCAUAUCAGCUCCUACAGAUACAAAGAAAGAGCAGUUGGGAAAAGUCAGGCUCUUCCCCUGGACGUGUUCUCAGUCAGCUUUUUCAACUGACAAGGACAGGCAGCCUCAAAGAAAUGUACAACUGAGCACAGGUGCACAGUGCAGUGAGCCCUGACAGGGCUGUUUGCAGCAGUAAGCAGCUGGGAUCAGCGUGCUCACUGCUACAUCCCAGAGAAACAAGCCUUCAUCUCCCCUUCCUAGAAAUGUGCAAAGAGGGACAAUACUGCAGCACAGAAGCCCAAAGCAAUGAGGGGAAGAAAGCUUUUCAGUGGAACAUCAGGGAAGUUCUAGUGUUUAGUGCUUCCAGACUUGUUUUAUAUUAAAAAACACCACCACCACCACAACAACCAUCACCAAACUAAACACCCAGGGCUGCUACGAUGCCUGAUUUUUAAUUUCUUUUUUUCUUGUUCAUCUCUGAGCUUUUUGCUCCAUAAACUGAACACUGGGACAUGCAGCUCAGCUGAAGAACCUGGCUGGGGUCAAAGAUAUCCAGCUGCUGCCUUCCUGCUGACAAAUGAGGGAUGAGUUUCUGAAAGGCAUUUAAGUGCUUAACUGCCCUGAUUCCUGCCUCUUCCUCUCAUCUGUGUAAAUGACAAGGUCUGUACUACUUUGAUUUCGGUAGCAACUGUAAUACAGUAACUGUUACAUCCAACUGAAGAUGAGAAGUGUGCGCAUCUCACCAAGCAGCCCUGGGUUUGUUUGCCCUUUAAUCAAAGGCAAUGAGGUAUAGUCACCAAUAAAAACAAAUAUCUGAACAGAAGUAAGAGCAAAAAGGCUAAUCAUGAUUUAGGAGUUCUCUGCCCUUAGACAGUGCUCCCCUUGGGUAGGUACGAGCUAGGAGAGUUGCUCAGCUAAUAAGGCAGGAUAACCCUAAUAUUUCCCAGCAGAGGAUUCUGUUUUUGUUGACACGAUAAAGCAUUACUGGAUGUGAUCACGAUGUAUAUGCAGGCACCCAACCUGGCAGUGCUGGAAAAGAUCAUUCAGAACUAUGAGGACUACAGAGGUUUUCCAUGACUCAUGAAAUUUCAGUCAAAUGUUCCAUGACUCAUGCAUUAACCUCACAAAACCCAGAGGGAGGAGAAGCUACUGGGCUGCUGGUUGACAAGAGGCUGUUUAAAACUAACACAGCAUAAUAAGCAGGACACCAGUGUACUCUUUUUGUCUCUCGAGACAGUCGUAAAGAAGAGUUGCAUCCACCCACAUAUUAACGGGGGACCUGAGCUGAGGUUGUGCAAUUAGGAUGGGAUGUUUUUUGCAGCUUCGAGGCUUGAACAGCAAUAUUAAUAUAACCCAAUUACAGAAAACAUCGCCAGAUGCAACAAACUAUUAAUACUAGCUUAUAUUUAAAUUCAGUUCUCCUUUAUUUCACUGCAAAUAACAAAAUGAAGAGAUAAAACCAGAAAGUAGCCUUAAAUGAACCACAUGAGAAGUACCGUAACCAAGGUUAGCUUGCCUUCCUUCUGCCACAACACUGUACACUUGCUGAACUCUGUAGCAGGAACAGCCCGCUGCAGAGCUGACCCUGUGCACAGAGCAUGGAAGGGCAGUCUGACUGCACCCAGGAGUUUGGAAAUGCUUCCAGACUGCAUAGCAGAGGCCAUAGAAGCACCUGGGAUGCUGGUUGCUGAGCAGACAUCAAUCCAGAAGAGCAUGACGGGAUCAGCAAGGGAAAGCGUGUCCACUGGGGGAUUCACAGGGGGUAGAAAGAGCUCUGUCAUCUUUAAUUUGGUGUUCAGUCUCAACCUAACCCUUAACGUAUCUGGGAUCCUGAUGGCUUAUUUGAAACUCUGUUCUGCAACCAUAAUAAAUAUAUACCCAAGUCCAGAGAGCAACACAAACAUUUCGCAUUUAAAACAUCACAACCCAUUUGGUUCAAGUAAUUACACUUUGCGCCAUUCCAACAAUGCUAGAUAUUAAUAGAGAUACAGAUCCUGGAGAAGAAAAUAAGGAUACAGGAGAAAAGAAGGCAAAAGUGCCCUGUAUAAGUGGCAUCAAGGAGAAAGAGGGGAACACUGGAACUCUUUGGUAGAAGAGAACUUGUUUAUUUUUUGAUGAUGACAUCAUCCUGUAGUUUAUAAGAUGAGGAUUUGUCAUAACUUCCUUCAGAUCGCAGAGAUUAUAUUGAAAAUGAGAUUUUUUCUGUAAACAGACCAUCUUUUAAACUAACAUAACACCUUUCAUGAAAUAACCUCCAAGCACUUCACAGACCCCAGAUCACACGCUUUCAUAUGAGACCUUUCCCACUGUGCAGGCUGCCCUGCUGAGAGCAGGAGCCAGAGAAUGUCCCAUCUCACUUGUGUACAAACCUCAUCCAGAAGCAAUAAAGCCAACUGCACCUACUUGUGCCAGCAGAGGACCCACUUAUUGCCAGUCUGUGUGCUUAGGAACAGAAUCAACUUGAAAGCUGUGCAGCCACUGUGACAUCAGUUUAAUGUGUCAUGGGACAUCAAAUUAGGCCAUGCUAAGAAAUGUGCUGCUACAUGUAUGGGUACAGCUGUUGCAUAAGGCACAGAAGCAGUAUCCCCGUGAUGCUGACGCAGAGCAAGCCAUUAGGCACGAGCAGGGAGAGCAGCCAGAGCAAGGUGCACGCUCAUGUUCUCUCCUGUGUGCGUGUCUCAUGCCAGCCAUUGCAUGUGGAUGGGAGCUGGAAGGAUUGCAUCUUUCUAGAUGGGCAAUGCAAUUCUUCUUAGAGUGAGCUGCAGCGUCCCUCUAUAUGCAAUUAGGAUGCCCCAACAGCAUUUAGGGUAAAACAGAAAAACAAACAGGAACAAUCAAAAUAGAGCCAUCAACAGCCCCUGAGAGUCAACAUGGCACUGAGCAUGAGCUGCAGCCCACAGAGCCACCCAUGUCAAACCGACCUCAUUUGAUUAGAGAAAUUCUCUGUGGUUGGAUUCAGUUAGACAAAUACACCCUGCAGCAAAUGAUGCCAUUUUAACAACAUAAGCAUACUCUUAUUUGAAUCACAGAUGAUCUGUUGUUGCAUGACAAACGAGAUGCCCUCCCCGUGCUAAUUUAGCCAGAUCUCUCGUGGCACAGAAGAGGCACAUGUCUGUCUGCAUCACACAGGAAACGUCUCAGCUCCCCCUGUCAGCACAGCUUUGCCCACAUAAAGGCAUCACUAUGCAUGGCAGCAGUGAAUUCCUUCGCAUCCCUGCCAGUAGCAGGGGUCAGCAGGUCCUGAGUAGCACACGCAUGCUGGGUUUGGGCUGGCCCUUCACUGCUCUUCUGUAGCAAAUUCUUGCCAGCUCUUCAGCUUUUAACUUGCCAACAUUAGGCUAUUUUGAUAGUGGGAAUGAAGAACCACUGGGCUGCUGAGAUACCUUCCUGCUCACCUCUGGCAGGGGACAAGAUGCAAACAGCUUCAGAGAAAGAUAAAUAGUGAGGAUGUUCCAGAUUCACUGUGUGCUGCAAUGAAAGGCAGCAUUACUCCAGUUCUGUACUGCACACAGUGAGUGGCUACGCACGGCUGACUUACAUAACAUCUGCCCUUUCUUACUGUUGUUCAAGAAACCAAGGCCUCUCCCACGUUCACGAGCUAACUCCAUUGAAGUGCAAUACCCCUUAUCAGCCAGCUCAUUGUAACAGGUUUGCUGUGUACAGGUGUUUUCCAGGAAGUUCCCAAUGGUACGCCCAGUGCUGGCUGCAGGAGCUGUUAUCAGUCAAUUGCUCCUUACCAGACAAUGAUGUAUGCAUAACCCUGCGAAGGGUUUGUGUCCUGUUGAAAAAGGAAAGCUGUUUGCCACAGUUCUCUCCCUGCACUCGUUCCUUUGACCUCAACCCACUGGCAGCGCAGGAGCUCCAGGAACAUGAGGGAUUUAACUUCUGCUGCCUCCUCAAGUGUCAGCAAACAGCGAGGUCAGGCCAAGCUGACAUACUGAGCUUUAGCAUUUCUAAUGUGGACCCUAUAGAAUCGAUCCACCUUUACACUCUGCUUGGAAUAUCUACACUUUUGUACAUGCAUUUCUUGCAGCCCUGCUAGGCACGCUGCUCUGCCAGGACAGUGCUUUGUGAGGAUACCACCUCAGCAGUGACCUCAGGAAGAAGCAGGGAGCUCAAGGAGCUGCCAAAACCCAUCCUUUUUGGAAGUGCAGACAGCUACUGAAGCAGGCAAACAGCGCUUCUCAUCUGCUGUGUGCAAUGUGUGCAACUAAAAAACAAGCCAGAAGAAGCCUCAUCUCUGACAGUAGUUUUUUUUCCUGAAGCUCUUGAAGUUUCUAGUAGCUUUUCAGUCAGCUGAAGUAGAGAUGAUUUAAUUUUAUGCCAUAAUACAGAAAUAAGGGGAGUGCUGCACGCUGUGUAAAAUGGAACUCAGGAGACAUCUUUCCAAGUACAGCUCAGAGAGGAGGUAAUUAUAAAAGGUGGUUAAGACUGAAGAGUCAGUCCUUCACAUUUCAGGGCUAAUGAAUUCCUGAUAAGAAAUUUCUGAGUGAAAAAAGGGAAUUGUGGGGCUAAUGGAAAAAUCCCACAUUAACUGGAGAAGGCAAUCAGAAUUUGUCAAGGAAAGGAGGUUACUCAGCUCCAGACUGCAGUGAGUGAGGGCUGGCAGCAAUAUGGUGCUCUGAGCAUAACAGAGCAUCCAAAGCCCUAUCGAGAAAGGGGAAUGGAAAAAGGUAGAAUUCACACACAAGAGCACACGGAGAUGUCCAGACCUCAGUGACCAGCCCGUGCCAACCACACAGAGCCCAAGCCUUACCCCAGACUGCAUCACUUGCACAAGAACUUGCAAAAACUGAUUGCAUACAAAAAAACCCCACCCAAAACAACCAAGAAGAAAUGUGGAAGGACUCACAGUUUAUUUUACAGCCCACGUACCAUCAGCAUGUCACUCAGAAAGGGUCCAGGUGAGGUUCCAGGGCAGAAGCAUCCACCAUCCGUGUUACAGCAUCCUGCUCCUGGACCAACCCACUGAGGCAAUGUGGGCUUUCCCAGGACUCUCCAAACUCCAUUCUGGCAGAAUGGCACGUGAACUCCUGGUGCUGGGUAUGCCUGUCCCUCCUUUAUCCCCUCAGCUUUGAAGGGGCCCACUGACAUCAGCAGCACAGCUUCGUUGCUGAGCUCACACUCGGUCCUUUCACUGCCCUAUCCCUGGCCCUACCAAGUGCUGAAGCACAGCAGCUUCCCUGGGACCAAGCAGCUGAGAUCUGAAGCUCAUUAUGUAAUUACUCUGCAAACAUCUCAUCCAUAUAAUAGCUCCACACCUGGAGAAUCUCAGCCCUCCACACAGCUUUGAGUGUGGGGCUUUCCAACGAAAGGCAGUUUGAAUUGAUGUUUUUUCCCCCUCUCUCCAGGAGUUCUGAGGUAUUUGUGCACAGACAGACAGCUAGCAGCCCAGGCAGUAACACAGCUCCAGCAUUCAUGGUGACAACACUAUGUUGCAGGAAGCUGUGCACAAAGAACACACGUUCUCCAUUUGACGCAGGCUUUUUGUUUUGUUUUGAAGGCCAGAUUUCAAUCACCCUCAGUCAUCUUCCCCAGCUUAGAGCCCAGCUGUUAAUUGUAGGUGUUUCAUCUCGGCAGGGCUGUGAAGCCAGAGCCAGCCCAGCGGAAAUCCCACACUGCCAGGCUCUGCAGCAGUUGGCACUUAUUGCCUGAAUGGAAAGAGCAACAACUGAGCACAAAUAUUUGAGUUCCUCUUUGUUCCUGGCAGGGCUCUUGCAGCAUACACGAGAGCAGAUUGCAUUUGUUUUGGCUGGGAUGGGAGAAGCAACGCAGAGUGCCCAGGUAUGAGCUCAAUGCAGCACGCAACAGAGGCAGAUGUUGUCCCGGCUGUACCCACAUGCACAGGGCUGGAGCAGCAGCUUGGAUGGUUUUAUCAGCCAGGGUGAGCUGCUUCCUGGGGCCUUAUUGGGCUGCAGGUCAAGGAUGGGUGUUUAUCGGGACGGGCAGCUUUGGCAGUAAAUCCUCUGCCUGUGGGUGUGCACAACUGAACCAGCUACCAGAAGCCAGCAGUCACACGUAAACAUUUGGGCAGUCCAGACACAGUCCUAUCUCAAAGCUGCUCCAGCUUGGCCACCAGAGCAAAGCACCAGCAAAACAGCAGCACCUUCAGAGCGAAGGCAUUUUCCUGCCCUUAUUUCAGAACACAGCACUGGAGGGCUCAGUGACCCCGGCUACGCGACCCAUUUCUCCCCACUUCCAUCUGCAAGUCCAAAUAUACAGCACUGCUGCUGCUGCUUGUAGGGCCCAUUUGUCUUUACCAGCAGUCCCAGCAGGGUCGCCUUGUAUUCGGUGUUGUGGAACCCCACGUGAGACACUCACCCUCCCCAAGAAGCCCAGGAGCAGAGGCCCUACCACCUGCAGCCCCAGAGGUUUGGUUCCACUGAGAGCACUGCUAUAAUCCCAACAGCCGUAGAAAAACAAACGCAGCUGCUGGUCAAUAGGUCUGACUGCCUGGCAGGGAGAGCAGAGAGAAGGGGACAGAAAAAUGCCCUCCAUCAGACACUGCUGCAGAGGCCCACCUCCCAGCUGGCUGCCCCCACCCCAGGAUUUCUGCACCCAGGAGGGGCUGCUCAUCCAUCACCAAUAGAGAACAAGUUCUGAAUACAUCAUUUGCAGCUGAGUUCAUUUCCAUUUUUUUUCCCCUCCUUACUGCUCACCCUGACCAAAUGUAGUGUGGUUCACUAAUGAGUGCGCUUCAGUUUUUGUUCUGCCAUGCAAGAAAAUCCAAUUUUUGUUCUGCAAUGCAAGAGGAAAAAAGAGAAGGAGAAAGCCCAGCAGCAUCUUUGCCACUCUGCCCAUAGAUGGGCUCACCCAGAUGCUGCAGCUGCACAAAGCAGUCCUGUGCUGCAGCACUGGGAACGGCAACCCAAAGCCUCCACCUCCAGAAGUUCAGUGGGAAGAUGGAUAAUCAAUACUGAAUUAUUCUUCAGAAUUUGCUGAGCACUCCGCACUUCUCUAUGCUGAGUUCAAGUGAGGCCAGGGCCCUCUCCCAGCCAAGAACAGCAGGGUGCUUUCCCUUUGCUAUCAGCAGCACAGUUACACCCCAACAGCUCAGCACACACUUGCAAAGCGUGGCCCAGCCCAGCCCAAACAAGGCCAGAGAUAGCGUGCACAUGAGCACACACACAGCAAGGACAGGCUGGCAGCCACGUGGCCCUCAGAGCCUGCUGGCAGGUGUUUGUUUGCUCACCCCGGUAACACAAAGGCAAGCAGGAAGCAGGUAUGAAUUCAAAUUGAAAGCUGUAAUUGCAUAGAAGGGCAUGGCAGGAGCAUGGACCCUAUGCCUACAGCAGCACCGGAGGUGAGGAGGCCUGAUAGCAGGGUGCCAGCAGGAUGUGCACAGCCACCAGAUCACUGCAUACAGAAGAGCAUUCCACCCCACUGAUGAGAUGCUGCUCAGGGGAAGCCCAGUGGCAAAGCAGCAUCGGGGCCAUCACCCUUCCCCACGGGCAGCCCAGCAUGGGUCAGGGUGCAGCUGAUGGAUGAGCCGCUGCAGUGACAGCACACACAGACCAUGGUUUUCCAUUGCGUCACCACUACCUUGCUUGACCCGGAGGUUAGGAAUAACAGUCCACCAGGCUGCCAGAACAAAGCUAUUUUGGGGCAGGCUUCGGGCUGACUCCCUGCACAGGGCAGCUCCGAGGCAGGCCCAGCAGCAGCCCCAGGAGCAGGAGGGUGCUGGGACACGGCUUCACUGCUGCAGCACGAGGCAUCCCAAGUGCUCAGCACGUGCUCCAUUGGGCAGAAUUAGCACGGCCUUGCAGAACACCGCCCACCUGAGCAUGGCUUUUGCUUAGGGAGGGCUGGGCAAACAGGAAUUCCCCCAUAUAUGCGGCACCUCAGGAAAAGGAGAUUCACUGCCAAACUGCUCUAUCCCGCUUCAGCUUCUGCACACCCGUUUCCAAUGCAGACUGGGAAAGCAGCUGCUGCCCACAUCUGGGCUGAGGUUUUAAAGCUGCACCACAAACAGCUGUCAGAUCUCACGUCACGGGCAUCUCGCCGUGCAGGGCUCCGUGGCAGCGGAUAGGGAAAAAGGGCAGAUGGACACAGCAGUGCAAAAAGGGACAGUUAAAGCAGAGAAUUGCUGUAAAACAUCUUUACUUUUGUGCGCUCAGAAAAACAGAGCAGUUACAAGCUUGGGUUGAGCAUAAUGACAACAUUUCAGAGAAGUUGAAGCGCAGUGAUGCAAGUAAGUGGGGCAAAGACUUCCACUGCUGCUGUGGAAAUCUCUCCCCAGAGCUCUGUUGGACGGCAGGCUUUUAAGGAGCCUCCACAGUUCUUCACAAGCCCUCCUGGGCCACGGCUAGCCCAUUACUUGGUAGCUUCACAAACAAGCAAACCCAUUCUACAGCUCUGCCCCCACUGAUGCACAGAUGUGAACGUGGGCAGUACACAGCCCAGCAGCUCAGAGCAGGAGGGUGAGUACCCCAGCACAGAGGAGCUGCAGGGUGCAAAACAGUCACACAACUAGCAAAGAGCAAUGCCCACAUACCACUCAACACCGCAGUUUCCUAUUCCCCAGCCCAAAGCAGCCUCAGUCUCAAAGAAGCCAUCAGUUUUUUGUAACUGCCCAGUGGAGAGGGGAAUAUCAUCACUGAGCAGCCCCCAGAUAAGCUCCCUCUUCUGUUCUGCAGGCACAGCAUGCCAGGGCCUUUCCAGCUUGGUUCUCCCUGCAUUACAGUUGAGCUGGUGAGCUAAAUAAGGCAUUUCUACCCUUUGAAUCUCAACAUACAAACAGGCUUCUGCAGUCAUAGCUUGUGCUCCCACCUCCAAACCUCUUUUUAACAUAUCGAGUAACUGAUCUCAAGUGAGACCCCAAGCUUUCCAGCUGUACCACAUGUGGGCUGGGGUUGGCUUGUCGGAUACAGGGUGGGAAGGCCUCUCCCCAGGAUGCACAUUUUCUCACAUGAAGCCCAAAGAGAAGUCACCACAAACCAAGCAGCACAACCCUUAAGUCUUGCUGCAGCCCCUUGCAGCGCUUGGGAAGUUCCAUCCCCACUGCAACAGAGCAGCACUGUUGCAGACACAGUGCCAAGCACUGAGAGCUGCUCAGAGCAGGCUGAUUGCUGCUCCAGCAACUGCCUGGUCUGAGGGUUGUUUUCUGACUGUUUGGGGUGCUCAUCCAAGCUCAAAGCUGUCUUAAUAAAAAAAACCAACAACAGAAAACCAAACACACAUCCGUCCUGUAUCACAGAGGGACAAGUCCACUGGAGCUGGCAGCGUAACACUGAGUUGAGGUUUUCACUGCUGACAGGACAAUAAAUCUCACCAGAGGUUUAGGAGUUUUACUUUAUUUCCAACUGAAGACCAGAACAUUGCGUGGAGGAUGGGGAGCUGUGCUGGCAGCUCCUGCAGUAACCUUGUAGCCCCUGGCCUUGCCAUACCAACUUGUAUUGCAGACGACUGCUUCCCAGCUAACAGCCCCAGCACAUGCCUACAGAAAUCCCCCACGUACCAUCCAGCUUUAAUAGCCUCUCCUAUUCUUAGCGCAAGAUUGUAUUCUUAUAGCCUGUUGCUCUGCUGUGUACUCCCUGCUUUUGGCUGUCCUAUACUCCUCCCUGGCCUGUACCAGCCCAUGAGGGCCAGCCAACUGCCCCACCUAGAAAUGGCAGUAAAAAGCAAGCAAGUGACCCACAGCACUGAGCUUACCAGGAACUGCUGAACACAGAGAGCCAGGACAACCCCUUGCACAAGGCAUCCCCCAGGCUUGCUGCUGGGUUCAGCCUGGUCCCACAUCACGUGCACCUGGCAGAGGAGAUGGAAAAAGCAAGGUGGUGGGGCUGGAGGCAGGGCUAGGAUUUGUCCUCUCCCAUAUAGUCACCUGAGAAGCAAAAACCAUCUCUAAAAGCUAUAGCAAAGCAGGAAAAUGCUAGAAGCACCUACCAACCUAUGGGGCUGAGCCCCAGCACCUGCUCUCCUGCCCACAGCUCUGCAAUUGCUGAUUAAACCUGUGGGGGUUGGGGGGGGGGGGGGGGGAGCUUUCACCCUCAAUCAAUCAGAAUGACUCAUUUUACCCCACCUCCCGGGAUGAGGGCUGGGUGCUCCCUUCCCCGGGGCUGUGGGAGGCAGCAGCCCAUGUUACACACACAGCUGAUGUGUGAUUUCAAUUAGAGGACAGAGGAGGCCUCCUCACAGCUUUAUUGUGUUUCUCAAGCCGUGUCACGUCGCUCACCAUGGCACGUCCAAGAUUAAUUGUCCUUAAUGUUAUCGUUUUAUUUUUUAAUCCAGACGUUGCUAUAGCUUUGGCCUUUGAAAACCGCUUCUGCCCACCUUACUUUUUCCUCUUUCCUUUCUCUUUUUUUUUUCUAUUUUUUCUCUUUUCUCUGUCUUUUUCUCCCCCCCCCCCCCCCCGCUCCGCCCCGUGCUGUGCCGGUUGGGGCGGGCAGUGCCGGGGCUCUGCUGCCCUCCGGCGGCCUCACGGGGCCGUCCCGUGUACCGACACACGGACGGAGCCCGGGCAGCCCCUCUGCCUGCUGCUCAGCCCCGCCGCCCUCCUCGGGUUUGGAUAAAAACCACCGUGGCUUUGCCCCCCCCGCAGCGUCCCCACGAGGGGAUGUGUCAUGGUGGCUCUGCCCAGCACAGUGGCACGAUGACCCAGUCCGCCUCUGCGUGUACCUCUGCAUCCCGCUGGAGCUGGAGGAGCCGUUCCGCCUCCUUGCCCUCCACCAGGACCAGAGGGAAGCCCCAGCACAGCCGAAACCUUGGGUUCCUUCCCCGCCCACUGCUGAGGGCUCUUGGUACAAUGGUGUCUUUGUGCUGUGGACAUCUGCUCCCAAUGCCCGGCCCUCCGGCUGUGACCCUCGGGCAGCACCGACCCCGCUGGCCCCACGCUGAACCAAUGACCUCCCAGGGAGACUCCCUGGCUGCCAUUUCCAUCCCAGGGAGUGAGAUCAUCUCACAUCCGCAUCCAGGGCUCACACAGCAGGAUGGCAACACCGUGGGCAUCCCGGUUGGCUUUUGUCCCGUUGUGUUGG